This 235-nucleotide long non-coding RNA is filed under the name Mustela putorius furo (domestic ferret). Its description in RNAcentral is "lncRNA (ENSMPUG00000025418.1)". Lineage: Eukaryota; Metazoa; Chordata; Mammalia; Carnivora; Mustelidae. The record is from RNAcentral.
CGCCCCCCUAGCUUCGGUCGUGAACGUGCUUUGAAGGGCUUAGUCUUGGGAGAGCGAAGUGUUGAGCCGCCUGGCAAAUACAGGUGGCUGAAGCAUGUUCCGUACUCUGCAUAAACUUUGAAGAUUCUGGAAGGUGGUCAGGAAUCUACUCACGAAAGAUGCGCCUGCUAACUUUUGCUGACAAGGAAUGAGAUCUGAAGCUGAGUGGGAAUGGCUUGCAGGAUGAGUUGCACAG